RNA transcript from Salmo salar (Atlantic salmon), 613 nucleotides. RefSeq lists it as uncharacterized. NCBI's taxonomy places the organism in Eukaryota, Metazoa, Chordata, Actinopteri, Salmoniformes, Salmonidae. The record is from RefSeq and is a predicted model, not a curated record.
GUUAGUCACAGUUUCGUUCCAUCAUUCCAUCUUGGGACAUCUCAUCUAUACCAGCUCGACAGACCUACCAGAGUCCAGAUGGCCCUCACCGGAAUCUGGUGCGCAUUUGUGCUUGUGUGUGUCACUCUGUGUCAGAUGGGGAAGGUCGACUCUUUCGUUAACGAGGAUAAACCAACAUGGCUCGAAACAUUACAGGAUAAACAGGUAUCCGCCGCCGACGACAAAUACAACCUCGUCUGGUUGCUGUACAAGCUUUCACAGUCACACCAUGACAACACGUUCAAAAUAAACUUCCCCCCUCAUGGACCGGAGAGUGUCGGGAAACCGGAGAGUAGGCGCGAGACUAUACCACAGGACUCGCGGGUUCGUAAAGAAGGAUGCAAAGUGUUCUUCUGGAAGUCAUGGACCGCAUGCUGACCGACGGGUUACUUUUACUCCCAAUCACAUGACCUUUGAAUCGACGACAGAUUUUAUUACAAAUCCUUACCAGCUUGCCAAAGUUUUUACUAAAUUGUUAAUUUAACGUAUUUUUUUUUUUUUUAAUUAAUUUUAAGUUACAUGGUUGUGAGGCUAUAGCCUAUUUAUCAAGUUGAAAUAAAAUCAGAAUUAUUUA